RNAcentral lists this long non-coding RNA (584 nucleotides) under Callithrix jacchus (white-tufted-ear marmoset). RNAcentral describes it as "lncRNA (ENSCJAG00000074657.1)". Lineage: Eukaryota; Metazoa; Chordata; Mammalia; Primates; Cebidae. The record is from RNAcentral.
GGCUGAUCCACAGCAGUGGGCUGCUGCAGCCAAGAUUCUGGUAGCCAGGGUUGAAAAGAGAAGGUAAGAAUUCCCAAUGUCUAAAUUGCUGCACGCUGGGUGGCAGGGGGCAGGGCUGAACUCUAUGCUACUCACACACACAGGGAAGGACAGAAGGGAAGGACACACUGGGCAGGUUCCACUCCCAAGAAAGGUGCCACCCCCAAGGAAGAGGCCUGCAGCUUUGGGAAGAGACUCAGCCAAGCAAAAAGCAGAAACAAGAAAACGGGGAAAGGAUGGCUACUUUGAUGGGGUUGGCUUAGACAUCAGAGAAGCUGAAGGGGACCUGGCAGGAGCUGAAGGAGCUGCAGUCCUGUCUGCUGCCUGCCCCAUCAACAAGGUGAGACAGGAAAUUAAUGACAGUAUGCUUGAACUGAAACGAUUCCUGUGCCCUUGCACCCACCUGCCAAGUAUUCGAAAAAUAUGCUUGCAUAGUCCAGGAAUCAGCAAUUAGACACAGUUUGCAUUCAGAUUUUGGGACUCUUGUUUGUGAUCCUCUAAACUUCCUGUUGCCCUGCCAAGCUCAAGUUCUUCCCUCUGAUGCC